UCCCAUCUCUGUGAACCUGCCUCGUCUCCCACCAGCUCCCGGAUUUGCUGAGCCUUUCUGCCACGUAGCUUCAACUUGUCUUGUAUUAUAUCUUGCCACUGGGGACUCUUUCAGAAUGAUAGCCUUCAGUUAUCGUGUGGUGUUCUGCGCAGUGGGUCGGAUCGUGAAGGAUGUGGCAGCGGCUAUCUGGGACACAAUGGUCAAUGAGAGUGAAAGCAGCAGUUCCUCCUUAAGGUCAGAGAUUGCAGCAUCUGAGGGCCUCUUCAAAAGAAGACGUAGUUGAUGAAGGCGUUCUGGAGCAGGACCAGAAAGACC
Amphiprion ocellaris (clown anemonefish) is the source of this 315-nucleotide long non-coding RNA. The record is from Ensembl. Lineage: Eukaryota; Metazoa; Chordata; Actinopteri; Pomacentridae.